GCCAGAUGUUGCUGGGCUCCAACAUGCACCUGCCGCAGCCAGCGUUGCCUGUCGGUCAGGGAUGAUGGAAGUUGUAGCCCGGCAACGUCUGGAGGGUACUAUGUUGGCUACUGCUGCUGGGAUACAGAGUACAACAAAAGACACAUCUUUAAAAGAGGACUUUAGACAUUUGGACCCGGAACUAAAAUCUGCCCCCUCUGAUGCCGCUGGCAGACCCAGCCCACCUGGCGAGUUUUGAGAAGUAUCUCCAGUCGAUGAACGGCUCUGAGGAGAUCUGCCUGCUGACGACGUUUGCCCAGAUGGCUCAGACGAAACGGGGUGAUGUGGACCAGGACUUUGUCAAAGUCAUUGUGCUGGAGAUCUACGAGGAUGUAUGAAUCCAUCCUCUCCUGAGGUCACCAAGGAAUUGCACAGCCAAGACAUGCCAAGCGAACCUUGCAGCUUGGUACUUAGUGGAGGGGAGGGAUAUAUUAAUCUCCGCAUAGGAGAUGACACAGAUGACCGCUAUGGCGACUUGCUGCUCCUGAACCCUCGCUUACGUCGAACUGAACGAAGCCAUCUCAUUGUCUGGCAGGUGCAAGCCUGAGGCUAUGGUGGUGGGCACAACCACUAUUUUAGGGUGGAAUGGCACCAUUCUGGCCUACGAGGGGAUUGCACAAUUGAUAGAUGCUGGUGUUGUCUUCCCAUCACUAUCUCCUGCCCUCUUUCCCCAUGUGGUUAACCCUCAGGUGUCUGUAGGGUUGGGGUAAUGACUUUUGCAGUGUUUUCAGGCUGAUGAUUGUGGAGGAGAACAUCAGAAUGCCAGGAUCUGUUUUGUGAACAGGCUCGAUGAAGGGAUCUGCAACUGGUGGUUCCUCUGGCCCUCCUUUUAUCAUUGUUUCCACUGCUUUGAAAUGGGAGCAGUGUGCCACUUUGCAAUAUGUUGGUCUACUGCUAUAUGGACUACUCCCACAUCAAAUCCUGCUGUGUUAACUCCUCCUUGUGCUGUGCAGCAGCAUACCUCUUAUGGCCCAGGUGGUUGGGAGCUAAGAAGAUACAGUUUCCCAGGUAAUGUUAGAAUGGUAGAGACCUCUAUUACUAGUUGGGAAUGAAGAAAGUAGGUCCAGUGAGUUGGAACCCAAAAGGCUGAGAACCAAGACUCCUGGGGUUUCUUUGCAAAAGGAGCAGCAUCCAAGUGCAUUGGAGUUACAACUCUUCCCAUUUCUGGCUCCCACUUUUGAGUGUGAUUUCCUGAUGCACUUUUGAUUCUACGGGUUGGGACAGGAGGACAAGACACAGAAUCUAGAACUACUGGCACAGAGUUGUUGAAGCCUGUCAGUGUAAACCGCAGCACUACUUGGAGAAACCUGAAGGGGGAGCUCUUUCCUGCUGUGCUGCCUUCACUUUGGAAGUCAAAUAUUGAUUGGUUGGUUCCUGGUGCUGUUGUGUUAACCAGAUCCUGCCUGCAGCUUUGGAAUGAUGCUGGGGCCAGCCAGCCAGGGCUGUGGAGUCGGUACGCCAAACCUUCGACUCUGACUGCUCUAUUUUUCUACUGUCCGACUCUGACUCCAUCCAAAAUUGCUUCCGACUCCAACUCCACGACUCCACCUCCACAGCCCUGGAAAGCACUGUAAAUGUCUUUUUAAAUUGGAAGCUCUCGUAGGAGCAUUUUUAUCGCUGCCUGAAUAUGCGCUGAUCUUGGCAUCACAGCGUUUGUCUUCAUCUGGGUCCUGUGUCAUACACUGACACCCAAAAUGUUUUCCGUCUUGAGUUAUGGUGAAAUGCUCAACUACAGCUGACUUCAUGGGAAGCUUCUUUGACAUUGUGAAUUUAUAUUUUAAAAAAAUUGUCAAUCAAAAUUUAUUUUGAAGUCGGAGUCAGUACAUUUCUACCGCCUCUGCCUCCAACUCCACCCAACAUUGACUCCGCCUCCACAGCCUGCAGCCAGGGCACCUGCCUUGCUGUUUCUCAGGGUUGCUGUUUGUUUGUCUGUCUCAGUAAGGGUGAGUGUCUC
Rhineura floridana is the source of this 1993-nucleotide long non-coding RNA. RefSeq lists it as uncharacterized. The transcript is spliced from 3 exons. Lineage: Eukaryota; Metazoa; Chordata; Lepidosauria; Squamata; Rhineuridae. The record is from RefSeq and is a predicted model, not a curated record.